Molecule: small RNA, 125 nt
Filed under: Marmota monax (woodchuck)
Lineage: Eukaryota; Metazoa; Chordata; Mammalia; Rodentia; Sciuridae
Source: RNAcentral
GCCGGGCUCGGUAGUGCAUGUCUGUAAUCCCAGCAGCGUGGGAGGCUGAGACAGGAGGAUCAUGAGUUCAAAGCCAGCCUUAGGAAUGGCGAGGGGCUAAGCAACUCAGUGAGACCCUGUCUCUA